RNAcentral lists this ribosomal RNA (715 nucleotides) under uncultured bacterium. Its description in RNAcentral is "bacterial SSU rRNA". It matches the Rfam family "Bacterial small subunit ribosomal RNA", at positions 54 to 745 of the family's 1533-position model. The record is from RNAcentral.
CAUGCAAGUCGAACGGUAACAGGCAUUAGUGAUCCCUUCGGGGUGAUCUUGGCGCUGACGAGUGGCGAACGGGUGAGUAAUGCUUGGGAAUCUGCCCUGUAGUGGGGGACAACCCGGGGAAACUCGGGCUAAUACCGCGUAAGCUCCACGGAGGAAAGCGGGGGAUCUUCGGACCUCGCGCUAUGGGAUGAGCCCAAGCCGGAUUAGCUUGUUGGUGGGGUAAUGGCCUACCAAGGCGACGAUCCGUAGCUGGUCUGAGAGGACGAUCAGCCACACUGGGACUGAGACACGGCCCAGACUCCUACGGGAGGCAGCAGUAGGGAAUAUUGGACAAUGGGCGCAAGCCUGAUCCAGCAAUGCCGCGUGUGUGAAGAAGGCCUGCGGGUUGUAAAGCACUUUCAGUAGGGAAGACAAACUCGAGGUUAAUACCCUCGGGUCUCGACGUUACCUACAGAAGAAGCACCGGCCAACUCCGUGCCAGCAGCCGCGGUAAUACGGAGGGUGCGAGCGUUAAUCGGAAUUACUGGGCGUAAAGCGCACGCAGGUGGCUGGGUCAGUCGGUUGUGAAAUCCCCGGGCUUAACCUGGGAAUUGCGAUCGAAACUGCCCGGCUAGAGUAUGGGAGAGGGAAGUGGAAUUCCCGGUGUAGCGGUGAAAUGCAUAGAUAUCGGGAGGAACACCAGUGGCGAAGGCGGCUUCCUGGCCCAAUACUGACA